GUUAUAUGGUCAAGUGAAGAAGCGCAUACGGUGGAUGCCUUGGCAGUCAGAGGCGAUGAAAGACGUGGUAGCCUGCGAAAAGCUUUGGGGAGUCGGCAAACAGACUGUGAUCCAGAGAUCUCUGAAUGGGGGAACCCAGCCAGCAUAAGCUGGUUAUCUUGUACUGAAUACAUAGGUGCAAGAGGCGAACCAGGGGAACUGAAACAUCUAAGUACCCUGAGGAAAAGAAAUCAACCGAGAUUCCCUUAGUAGUGGCGAGCGAACGGGGACCAGCCCUUAAGUUGGUUUGAGAUUAGUGGAACGCUCUGGAAAGUGCGGCCAUAGUGGGUGAUAGCCCCGUACACGAAAAUCUCUUAUCAAUGAAAUCGAGUAGGACGGAGCACGAGAAACUUUGUCUGAAUAUGGGGGGACCAUCCUCCAAGGCUAAAUACUACUGACUGACCGAUAGUGAACUAGUACCGUGAGGGAAAGGCGAAAAGAACCCCGGAGAGGGGAGUGAAAUAGAUCCUGAAACCGUAUGCGUACAAGCAGUGGGAGCCUACUUUGUUAGGUGACUGCGUACCUUUUGUAUAAUGGGUCAGCGACUUAUAUUCAGUGGCGAGCUUAACCGAAUAGGGGAGGCGUAGCGAAAGCGAGUCUUAAUAGGGCGUUUAGUCGCUGGGUAUAGACCCGAAACCGGGCGAUCUAUCCAUGGGCAGGUUGAAGGUUAGGUAACACUGACUGGAGGACCGAACCGACUACCGUUGAAAAGUUAGCGGAUGACCUGUGGAUCGGAGUGAAAGGCUAAUCAAGCUCGGAGAUAGCUGGUUCUCCUCGAAAGCUAUUUAGGUAGCGCCUCAUGUAUCACUGUAGGGGGUAGAGCACUGUUUCGGCUAGGGGGUCAUCCCGACUUACCAAACCGAUGCAAACUCCGAAUACCUACAAGUGCCGAGCAUGGGAGACACACGGCGGGUGCUAACGUCCGUCGUGAAAAGGGAAACAACCCAGACCGUCAGCUAAGGUCCCAAAGUCAUGGUUAAGUGGGAAACGAUGUGGGAAGGCUUAGACAGCUAGGAGGUUGGCUUAGAAGCAGCCACCCUUUAAAGAAAGCGUAAUAGCUCACUAGUCGAGUCGGCCUGCGCGGAAGAUGUAACGGGGCUCAAACCAUGCACCGAAGCUACGGGUAUCACCUUUUGGUGAUGCGGUAGAGGAGCGUUCUGUAAGCCUGUGAAGGUGAGUUGAGAAGCUUGCUGGAGGUAUCAGAAGUGCGAAUGCUGACAUGAGUAACGACAAUGCGAGUGAAAAACUCGCACGCCGAAAGACCAAGGUUUCCUGCGCAACGUUAAUCGACGCAGGGUUAGUCGGUCCCUAAGGCGAGGCUGAAAAGCGUAGUCGAUGGAAAACAGGUUAAUAUUCCUGUACUUCCAGUUAUUGCGAUGGAGGGACGGAGAAGGUUAGGCCAGCCUGGCGUUGGUUGUCCAGGUUUAAGGUGGUAGGCUGGAAUCUUAGGCAAAUCCGGGAUUCUAAGGCCGAGAGCUGAUGACGAGUUGCCAUUAGGCGACGAAGUGGUUGAUACCAUGCUUCCAAGAAAAGCUCCUAAGCUUCAGAUAACUGGGAACCGUACCCCAAACCGACACAGGUGGUUAGGUAGAGAAUACCAAGGCGCUUGAGAGAACUCGGGUGAAGGAACUAGGCAAAAUGGCACCGUAACUUCGGGAGAAGGUGCGCCGGCGAGGGUCAAGGACUUGCUCCGUAAGCCCAUGCCGGUCGAAGAUACCAGGCCGCUGCGACUGUUUAUUAAAAACACAGCACUCUGCAAACACGAAAGUGGACGUAUAGGGUGUGACGCCUGCCCGGUGCCGGAAGGUUAAUUGAUGGGGUUAGCGCAAGCGAAGCUC
RNAcentral lists this ribosomal RNA (1877 nucleotides) under Salmonella enterica subsp. enterica serovar Enteritidis. RNAcentral describes it as "partial 23S ribosomal RNA". It matches the Rfam family "Bacterial large subunit ribosomal RNA", at positions 1 to 1907 of the family's 2925-position model. The record is from RNAcentral. Lineage: Bacteria; Pseudomonadati; Pseudomonadota; Gammaproteobacteria; Enterobacterales; Enterobacteriaceae.